Molecule: long non-coding RNA, 3605 nt
Organism: Nerophis ophidion (straightnose pipefish)
Lineage: Eukaryota; Metazoa; Chordata; Actinopteri; Syngnathiformes; Syngnathidae
Exons: 6
Source: RefSeq, a predicted model, not a curated record
AGAUGAGGUGGUUCGGGCAUCUGGUCAGGAUGCCACCCGAACGCCUCCCUAGGGAGGUGUUUAGGGCACGUCCAACCGGUAGGAGGCCACGGGGAAGACCCAGGACACGUAGGGAAGACUAUGUCUCCCGGCUGGCCUGGGAACGCCUCGGGAUCCCCCGGGAAGAGCUACACGAAGUGGCUGGGGAGAGGGAAGUCUGGGCUUCCCUGCUUAGGCUGCUGCCACCGCGACCCCACCUCGGAAAAGCGGAAGAUGAUGGAUGGAUGGUAUAACAGCGGUAUAUGAAAACGAUGUUACUAAUGCUGUUACUUUUACCGGUAACGAGUAAUCUAAUAACUUUUAUGUACGCUACAACGCUGUUACGAUGCGUUUUAUGUAAUGUGGCAUGCUACUUUUGAUGUGAUUGUAUGUCAACAAGACAGCGUUAGAAGCACAAAAGAUUUAGUGCAGGUAAUAUCUUAUUAAUAAUGAAAGCAACCCCCGGAAGUAAUUACGAACACGAUAUCAAAUAGAAAGAGGCCUCAUCCACACGCAAACAAAAACAUUCAACAGAACUAUCUUAACUGCCACUGCUAAGCUAAAAAAUACAGCUGAACUAUUCUGCUAUGUCUGGGCGCUGACGUCCCACUUGGCAAAAGGCACAGCUUUUUAAAGGCACACACACACUCUGCUCUCGUGAAAUGUCUCUCAACUGCAUAUGCUAGAUAUUUAAAACUUUUCUUUUUCAAGUAACACAUUAAUUAGAAACCCCGUUUCCAUAUGAGUUGGGAAAUUGUGUUAGAUGUAAAUCCAAACGGAAUAAUUUUUUUUACAAAUAAUAAUUAACUUAGAAUUUCAUGGCUGUAACACGUGCCAAAGUAGUUGGGAAAGGGCAUGUUCACCACUGUGUUACAUCACCUUUUCUUUCAACAACACUCAAUAACCGUUUGGGAACUGAGGAAACUAAUUGUUGAAGCUUUGAAAGUGGAAUUCUUUCCCAUUCUUGUUUUAUGUAGAGCUUCAGUCCUUCAACAGUCCGUGGUCUCCUCUGUCGUAUUUUACGCUUCAUAAUGCACCACACAUUUUUGAUAGGACUGCAGGCCGGUCAGGAAAGUACCUGCACUCUUUUUUUAUGAAGCUGAACACGUGCUGAAUGUGGCUUGGCAUUGUCUUGCUGAAAUAAGCAGGGGCGUACAUGAAAAAGUUGGCGCUUAAGUGGCAGCAAAUGUUGUUCCAAACAGAUGGGUAACUUACAGAUGUGUAAGUUACCCAUGCCUUGGGCACUAAUGCACCCACAUACCAUCACAGAUACUGGCUUUUGAACUUUGCGUCGAUAACAGUCUGGAUGGUUCGCUUCCCCUUUGAUCCGGAUGAAACGGUGUCGAAUAUUUCCAAAAACAAUUUGAAAUUUGGGCUCGUUAGACCACAGAACACCUUUCCACUUUGCAUCAGUCCAUCUUAGAUGAUCUCGGGCCCAGAGAAGCCGGCGGCGUUUCUGGAUGUUGAUAAUUGGCUUUCGCUUUGCAUAAUAGAGCUUUAACUUGCACUUACAGAUAUAGCAACAAACUGUAUUUAGUGACAGUGGUUUUCUGAAGUGGGCUUCACGGUGGCAGAGGGGUUAGUGCGUCUGCCUCACAAUACGAAGGUCCUGCAGUCCUGGGUUCAAAUCCAGCCUCGGGAUCUUCCUGUGUGGAGUUUGCAUGUUCUCCCCGUGAAUGUGUGGGUUCCCUCCGGGUACUCCGGCUUCCUCCCACUUCCAAAGACAUGCACCUGGGGAUAGGUUGAUUGGCAACACUAAAAAUUGGCCCUAGUGUGUGAAUGUGAGUGUAAAUGUUGUCUAUCUGUGUUGGCCCUGCGAUGAGGUGGCGACUUGUCCAGGGUGUACCCCGCCUUCCGCCCGAUUGUAGCUGAGAUAGGCACCAGCGCCCCCCGCAACCCCAAAAAGGGAAUAAGCGGUAGAAAAUGGAUGGAUGGAUGGGUUUUCUGAAGUGUUCCUGAACUCAUGUGGUGAUAUCCUUUAGAGAUUGAUGUCGGUUUUUGAUACAGUGCCGUCUGAGGGAUCGAAGGUCACGGUUAUUCAAUGUUAGUUUCCAGACAUGCCGCUUACGUGGAGUGAUUUCUCCAGAUUCUCUGAACCUUUUGAUGAUAUUAUGGAGCGUAGAUAUUGAAAUCCCUAAAUUUCUUGCAAUUGCACUUUGAGAAACGUUGUUCUUAAACUGUUUGACUAUUUGCUCACGCAGUUGUGGACAAAGGGGUGUACCUCGCCCCAUCCUUUCCUGUGAAAAACUGAGCAUUUUUUGGGAAGCUGUUUUUAUACCCAAUCAUGGCACCCACCUGUUCCAAAUUAGCCUUCACACCUGUGGGAUGUCCCAAAUAAGUGUUUGAUGAGCAUUUCUUAACUUUAUCAGUAUUUAUUGCCACCUUUCCCAACUUCUUUGUCGCGUGUUGCUGGCAUCAAAUUCUAAAGUUAUUGAUUAUUUGCACCAAAAAAACGUUUAUAAGUUUGAACAUCAAAUAUGUUGUCUUUGUAGCAUAUUCAAUUGAAUAUGGCUUGAAAAGGAUUUGCAAAUCAUUGUAUUCUGUUUAUAUUUACAUCUAACACCAUUUCCCAACUCAUAUGGAAACGGGGUUUGUACUUAAUUUAAUAAUUAAUUACAUUUAUGAAAGAGUAAUUCUGUUUGUAAUUGAAUUUUUAGUCAAGUAACGACUAUUAUUAUUGCUUUUUAAAACAGAUAUUCCAAACAUUGUUAAUUGAUAAACUGUUUUAUCAGGAUAUGGUGUAUUUGCUCUUGCAUCAAUUUAAAAAGGUUCUUUUGUGGUCGAGUACCGAGGGAAGUUCAUCUCAAGACAUGAGCGGGACAAGAGACAGAAACCCUCUAUAAAUAUCUUUACUAUUUAUCUGGCAUUAUAUGCUCAUAAUGUUAACAACAAAAAGUGCUGAUAAUGUUAUAAUUAAUAAGUUCUAACAUUAUUUUUAUGUGUUUUGUUGCAGACACCAACUGUUGAUGUUCUAUCUCAACAUUCUCCAGAUUCAUGUGAGCGAUAAACCGACUUCAUCCCUCCAACAGACACCAACUGUUGGGGUUCUAUCUCAACAUUCUCCAGAUUCAGAUGUGAGCGAUAAACCGACUUCAUCCCUCCAACAGAAACCAACUGUUGAGGUUCCAUCUCAACAUUCUCCAGAUUCAGAUGUGAGCCAUUAACUGACUUCAUCCCUCCAACAGAAACCAACUGUUGAGGUUCUAUCUCAACAUUCUCUAGAUUCAGAUGACAGCCAUAAACCGACUUCAUCCCUCCAACAGAUUGACAGCAGGACAAAUCGCUGGAAGUGGGUAUGUCUCAAGCUUCUUCCACUUGGUCCACUCCAAAGCGGGCUGCAAAGGGGAAGAAGUGGAAGCAGUUGAAUGACACAUGUUGCAUUUUGUAACUGGCAACAAAGUACCAGGUAAAAAAGAUUGUGAAGCCUCCCUCCAUAAAGAACUAGUAGCUCUACAGGACAGAGAUUGGCUUGACAUCAAGUACUACAUCCAUAACAGAAUUAUAUUUAAAAAAGGAAAAAAAAAUGUUUUCCCACAUCUUCUGUGGUAGUUUGAGUAUGUUACCAGCAAUUAAAAAAGCAAAAUAAA